GAUGAACGCUAGCGGCAGGCCUAAUACAUGCAAGUCGAACGGGAUCUGAGGGUAGCUUGCUACCCGAUUUGAGAGUGGCGCACGGGUGCGUAACGCGUAAGCAACCUACCCAUAUCAGGGGGAUAGCCCGAAAAAAUUCGGAUUAACACCGCAUAAUAAUACGCUAACACAUGUUGAUGUAUUUAAAUAUUUAUAGGAUAUGGAUGGGCUCGCGUGACAUUAGCUAGUUGGUAAGGUAACGGCUUACCAAGGCGACGAUGUCUAGGGGCUCUGAGAGGAGAAUCCCCCACACUGGUACUGAGACACGGACCAGACUCCUACGGGAGGCAGCAGUAAGGAAUAUUGGUCAAUGGGCGCAAGCCUGAACCAGCCAUGCCGCGUGCAGGAUGACUGCCCUAUGGGUUGUAAACUGCUUUUGUUAGGGAAUAAACCUUCUUACGUGUAAGGAGCUGAAUGUACCUAAAGAAUAAGGAUCGGCUAACUCCGUGCCAGCAGCCGCUGUAA
This 504-nucleotide ribosomal RNA is filed under the name uncultured bacterium. RNAcentral describes it as "partial 16S ribosomal RNA". It matches the Rfam family "Bacterial small subunit ribosomal RNA", at positions 28 to 523 of the family's 1533-position model. The record is from RNAcentral.